GACGAACGCUGGCGGCGUGCUUAACACAUGCAAGUCGAACGGAAAGGCCCUGCUUUUGUGGGGUGCUCGAGUGGCGAACGGGUGAGUAACACGUGAGUAACCUGCCCUUGACUUUGGGAUAACUUCAGGAAACUGGGGCUAAUACCGGAUAGGGGCUCCUGCUGCAUGGUGGGGGUUGGAAAGUUUCGGCGGUUGGGGAUGGACUCGCGGCUUAUCAGCUUGUUGGUGGGGUAGUGGCUUACCAAGGCUUUGACGGGUAGCCGGCCUGAGAGGGUGACCGGCCACAUUGGGACUGAGAUACGGCCCAGACUCCUACGGGAGGCAGCAGUGGGGAAUAUUGCACAAUGGGCGGAAGCCUGAUGCAGCAACGCCGCGUGCGGGAUGACGGCCUUCGGGUUGUAAACCGCUUUCGCCUGUGACGAAGCGUGAGUGACGGUAAUGAGUAAAGAAGCACCGGCUAACUACGUG
RNAcentral lists this ribosomal RNA (468 nucleotides) under uncultured bacterium. RNAcentral describes it as "partial 16S ribosomal RNA". It matches the Rfam family "Bacterial small subunit ribosomal RNA", at positions 28 to 507 of the family's 1533-position model. The record is from RNAcentral.